GACCGGCUAAGAGAGCGGUUGAAGGAUAUUUCCUGCUUGGAACUGAAUCUGCAUAUGCUGCUGCCUGGAAGAUUCUGGAUGAAAGAUAUGGAAAUCCAUUCACAAUCGCGAAAGCCUUUAGAGACAAACUGCAUGCAUGGCCCAAAAUUACCUCAAGAGACAGUUUCGAACUAAGAGACUUUGCAGAUUUCUUGCGCAGUUGUGAAGCUGCUACAGCUCACAUCAAGUCAUUAGAGAUCUUGAAUGACUGCAAUGAGAACCAAAAGAUACUUUCCAAACUUCCAGACUGGCUUGCUGCUAGUUGGAACCGCAAAGUUAUUGAAAUUGAAGAACAAACAAAUCAGUUUCCCACUUUCAGCCAGUUUGUUGAGUUUUUAUCGAGAGAAGCCAAGAUAGCCUGUAAUCCUGUUACAUCUUUACAGUCACUUAAACAAUGUGAGCCUAACAAAGACAAACCGAAGCUUACAAAACAGAAAGAAAUUGGAGUUAAAACCCUGAUGACGACUUCACAAGAAAAGAUACAACUGGUAUGUGUAUUCUGUAAGAAAUCUAAGCACAGUUUACACAAAUGCAGAAGUUUUCUGGAAAAGGCUGUGUCAGACAGAGUCAGCUUUAUUAAGUUAGAAAGGCUAUGUUUUGGUUGUCUCAAACCAGGCCAUCAUUCGAAGAGCUGUACCAACCGCAAUAUUUGUGAAAGGUGCAGUAAAGGGCAUCCGACUUGUCUUCAUGAAGAUAGAGUUAAGGACAAAGGAGAACAAAGGCAACCAAUAGCUAAUCCAAAUCCAAGCAACGAAAGGUCAAGUCAAAGCGACCGAGUUCAAGAACAAGUUACAGCCAUGGCUACGACUAACCGAGUUGCAAGUCAAGAAAAUAACACACAGACAGCUGCAAUCAUUCCUGUGUGGCUUUCAUCUUCCACAAAACACAAAGAAGUUCUUGUGUAUGCCUUACUGGAUUCGCAAAGCGAUACAACCUUUGUUCUCAGUGAAGUUGCAAAGUUACUAGAGACAAACCAAGAACCUGUUAAACUAGAGCUGUCUACUAUGUCUUCCCAGACUACAGUUGUUCAGUCCGACAGACUUCAAAAUCUUCAAGUUCGUGGCCUUUACUCAAGCAAAAGAAUCACUUUACCUCCUACAUACACACGAGAAUUCAUUCCAGCUAACAAAGCUCACAUUCCAACUAAUGAAACAGCCAAAGCUUGGCCACAUCUGGAACACCUUCAAUCAGAAAUCGCACCUUUGCAAGAUUGCGAGGUAGGAUUGUUGAUCGGAUACAACUGCUCACAAGCUCUUCUGCCGAGAGAGAUUGUGUCAGGCAAGGAAGGCGAGCCAUACGCUCAGCGCACCGAUCUUGGUUGGAGUAUAGUUGGACAAACCAAUCACUGCCUGAACUAUGGAGAUGCAAUUGGAAUUAGUCAUCGCAUUAUUGUCAAGAAAGUCAUCCCAGAGCUUAAGCCUUCUCUAAAGCUUCAGAACAAAGUCCACUAUGUCAAUAGGACAACAGUAAAGGACAUCACCCCUUCGGACAUUAUCAAAGCACUUGAAGGAGACUUCUCUGAAAGAGCCAUUGAGGGCAACCCUGUAUCACAAGAAGAUUUAAAGUUUCUCACAAAACUCAAAGAAAACAUCACACAAAAUGAGAGCGGCCACUAUGAGAUGCCACUACCGUUUCGUGACGAAAGACCCAAAUUACCAGACAAUAGAAUAUGUGCAAUGCAUCGCCUAAAGUGUCUUGAACGGAGAUUAAGGAAAGACAAAUCAUAUUACAAUGAUUACACAAACUUCAUGGAUGACAUCAUCUCAAGAGGAGAUGCUGAAAGAGUCCCUGACAAAGAGUUGAAUAACACUCCUGCAUGGUAUAUCCCACAUCAUGGGGUUUAUCACCCACACAAACCCGGAAGAAUCAGAGUAGUAUUUGAUGCCUCGGCCAAGUACCAGGAUACUUCUCUCAAUGACCACCUCUUAACCGGUCCUGACCUGACAAACGCAUUGGUUGGUGUUCUUUGUCGUUUCCGCAGAAAUUCUGUCGCAUUCAUGUGUGAUAUAGAGCGGAUGUUUCACCAGUUCCAUGUCACAAAAGAAGACCAGGAUUACUUAAGGUUUCUUUGGUGGGAGAAGGGAGAUUUGGAAGCAUCACCAUCAGUUUACCGUAUGAAGGUCCAUCUUUUUGGAGCAGCGUCUUCUCCAGGCUGUGCCAACUUUGGCCUGAAACACCUUGCUGCCCAAGGACAAGCAGAUUCUUCAGCAAAUGUGCAAGGAUAAGGUUGGGUGGGACCACGAGCUUCCAGAGCACUUAAAACCCCAGUGGGAAUCCUGGAUUAAAGACCUUCCAAGUUUAGCUAACAUGCAGAUUCAAAGAUGCUUCAUUCCUACAGAUUUCGGUCAGGUUAAAAGCUACGAGCUUCAUCACUUCGCAGAUGCCAGUGUCAAUGGAUAUGGUGCUUGUACUUACCUGCGAGCCAUUAACCAAUCAGAUCAAGUCCAUUGUUGCUUGGUAAUGGCCAAGUCAAGAGUCACACCUACUAGUGUCACAACUAUCCCUCGACUCGAACUCUCAGCAGCAGUUGUUUCAGUUAGAGUCAGUGAUCUACUCAGGACAGAACUUGAAAUCCCAUACGUUGCUGAGUUUUUCUGGACCGACUCCACCGUUGUUCUCGGCUACAUAAAUAAUGAUGCCAAAAGGUUUCAAGUCUUCGUAGCGAAUCGGAUACAAAGGAUCAAGUCAAGCACAAAGCCAGAACAAUGGGCGUAUGUCGCAUCAGAGCAGAACCCUGCAGACUACGUUUCUCGAGGCUUAACCGCAGAACAACUGAAGUCCUCUGAAUGGUUUGAGGGGCCAGCAUUUCUCUGGGAGAAGAACAUUCCUGAUAGAGAUGUUAAGGUGGGAGAGAUCAGGGAAAAUGAUCCAGAACUUCGCAAAGCCUCUGUGUAUACCAUCAAUGCAAAGGAAGAGCAAACUAUUUUCAGCAGAUUUGAGAAGUUU
Cyprinus carpio carpio is the source of this 2985-nucleotide long non-coding RNA. The record is from Ensembl. NCBI's taxonomy places the organism in Eukaryota, Metazoa, Chordata, Actinopteri, Cypriniformes, Cyprinidae.